This 416-nucleotide long non-coding RNA is filed under the name Ananas comosus (pineapple). Its description in RNAcentral is "long non-coding RNA (ACOM_LNC017987)". Lineage: Eukaryota; Viridiplantae; Streptophyta; Magnoliopsida; Poales; Bromeliaceae. The record is from RNAcentral.
UAAAAAAGCAUUGAAGCUUAAUAUAAAAACUUAUAUAGAACUUAGAGUGAGGCUGCUAUGCUAUCGGAAGCACGAAGUCUUUCGUGCUUUCAGCUUGUUUUCGAUAUUGCGAUUUUUGAAUUAUCGAUCGGCUCCGUUAAACUUGAUCUAGAGUAUUUGAAGUACCUAGAAAAUAAAUUUUAUGAUUUUACGAUAUCAUUUGCCUAGUGAACGAAGGAGCUCAAAAUCAACGGCUGAAAAUAAAAAUCUUACAAAAUGUAAUAAUAUGACAUUGAAAUUUUAAAUCAAAGAUAUUGAUCUUGUUUUAUNUUUCUGAUUUUUUCGAAAUCUUGAAUUCUUUGAUCUUUGUCAAUUCGCUUCGAUUCUUCAAGACUCCAACUCACUUCACGAAACUUGCCAAUACAAAAUCCUUAACA